This 251-nucleotide long non-coding RNA is filed under the name Nicotiana benthamiana. RNAcentral describes it as "long non-coding RNA (NBEN_LNC037551)". Lineage: Eukaryota; Viridiplantae; Streptophyta; Magnoliopsida; Solanales; Solanaceae. The record is from RNAcentral.
CGCAACAUAGAUCUCCACAACCACUUACAUAGUAGGCUCUUACAGUUUUAGAUUCUUCGCCCAUAAACCAACUCCUUUCUUGCCUUCUAUCACAUUUUUCCAAUUAACCAAGCGCAUAUUCAUCUUUUCCAAGUUUCCUUCUCAUAAAACAUCACAUCUCAGCUUGUGAAUUGGAUGGUACAAAUGAGAGAGAAAUGCCCUUACUUAUAGGGUAGAAAGCUCAUGCUAAUGUCAUCAACGACAUCAACAAC